UCGACCCGAACGGCGCCCUUGCUUCUCCCGCAAUCGGAUCUCUCUGCUGAUGAGAUUUUCAAGUCACAUCGUUCCGACCACCCAAGAUUCGUUGUCCAAUAUUCGUCGGUUGAAGGUAAGGUAGCCCCAUACGAGAUCGUGUGGUUCGUGUUCCUUGCACCCGGAUCUCUCCGCCUACCAUUUCCGGCCAACAUCCAUCGGAGCACCUUACCAACAUCUACUCCAGGCUCCUACCGACGGUAACUAGGCUCUUCAACAACCAUUAGGUAAUUGUUCUUCCAUUUGACCACCACAACUGCCACAGCUCGUUGUACAGCAAGGUUCGACCUUGAUUUAGUUUCAGGGCCUUCUGAACAUUGAACUUCCAUCACAAAUCCGCUCCUCACAAUGGAUAACUUCGGCUAGCAGUGGAACUGUUUUCCCGAAGACUUGGUAACCAUUAUACACUCUUCCUUAGAAAUGUUCGUCUGUAGCUCAAUGAAAAAGUUAUUGGGCGUUUAUUAAAUAAGUAAAAUUAUUAACUAGAAUAUACUCACAAAUUUUUUAUACUUUUCUCCUUAUAUUUUGUCUCCAAUUCAUGAGUAAACCGUUUCCAUAGAUUAAGAAUGUAAUGUUUCUUCCGGGCAACGUCACAUGUCAAUGCAAUUGCAAUUGGCUUCUUUCCACUUCUCCCCCAAUAGUAAACUGUAGGUGUUGAACAUGUGACCCGAAAUGAAUGUUUGAAGGGUAGCUAAUUUUGAAACUUUAUUUUCCUAUUUAUUCACAUUUAUUACAAAUUGCUCAGACUCUGUGUUUAUACAAAAUUGAUGAGUUAGUUUAUGUUCAUAGCAAGUGUGUAUUUCGUCCGCAAUUUAGUAAAGCUCAUUUUUUGGUUUUUAUAUUUCUUGUUUGCUGCCUGUCCCCAUUAUGCUUCUACGUGAUAUUGCAAAAUGCAAUUUGACCGAGGAUCAUAUUGUGCCCCUUUUGCCCUCUCGCCAAAUGGUGAACUAAUAAAAAAAUGUGGAAGUCCCUUAAAAAGCUUUCAAGAUGGGAGCCCUAAAUACUUGACAAUAGGCUUCUUUCCUCCCUGCCUCUUUAAUACAUCCAAUUAAUUUACUUUUGUUACACCUUCGCUGCUUUACAAAUUACAAUUUUCUCUUACAGCUCGGCACUAGUGGCAGUGCCCACCCGAUGCAUUGUGCUGCAUCCGACCAGCAAGACCCGUAGCCAACGGUGCAAAAGUCAGCCAAAUGGAAAUCCUUGGAGUCCAAGGUCUUCAUUUCAACAUGCGAAACCGUGAUCGCAAAAGGCCACCGAUGAGGCAAAUGCUUUUCAACAAAGGGAUGGUUGCGUAUCACAAAAAUUUUCAACAAGAAAGCUAGAAAGAACUGGACUAUAUCCUAGAUGAAGAACUACUGGAGUGAACUGCGGGAGCAGCACAAACACCUGUUCGAGCUGCUGCAAUGUACAGGAAUUGAGUACCACUCGAGCACCGGUACAAUCGUUGCUCUGGAGCAUUGGUGGGACGCCAAAAUCAAGGUGCAUUAUUUCCAUUAUAACUUCCAUGUACUAUCAUGCUGUGUCUAUCUUAUUAAAGUUGUGUGUGAGCAUGAUUGAUAUACAAAUAGAAUUUCUUAAUAAUGCUAAUUUCAUACUGUGACGCUUAGUAUGUGACACUAGUUCAUCCACAUGAUCUAGAUCAACAUAGAGGUUCAUUUGCUCUUGUUAAUGCAUUGGCUAAUUGUCGUUAACUGCAUGCAUUUGAGUGUUUCCUUCUAGUUCAUGCAUUUGUUUAUUCGUAUCCUUUUCCAUUCUAAUAUCGUGUUUCAUUAUUCGUUAUGUUUUCAUUUUCAUUUGGAAAUAAGAUAAGCCAAAGUAUGCGAAGUAUAAGCACAUUGAUUGCAACGAGAUUUAUGACACUUGUGGAAAGCUAUUCGGGGACACCUAAGACGCAACGAAGUACGCGUUGUCCCCAACAAAGCUGUCGCAACGUGGCUUUGACCUAAGUACAGAUAGUGAUCGAGAAGACGUCGACGACAAGUUACCAAUCAACACAGAGGGAACCGAUUCUAGUGGCAGUCCAAACGAAGACAGAGGAAACUCUUUGAUGAACAUAUCCGGGAGGCAAAAUGGUGACAAAUGGAAAGGAAAACAAUGGAGAGACAGAUGAUAUAAGAAACGGUAUAGUGCUGGAGACGUGUCGACAUCACUUGAGUAGAUGGUUAGCGUCAGAACAGAUCUGGCUUCCAUUGCGAGAUCACAUCGUAACAGAGGAAUGUCGGUCAACGAGUGUGUCGACGAAUUGCUCUCGUUGGGUUAUGUGAAGAAGGGUGAUAUGCUCCACUUGUUCGCCAUGUAGUUUCUCAGUGACUAAGAUGAUCAAAAUUCGUACUGUGCUGCGAAGACACCAAUUCUGUGCUUCAAGUUUGUGGAGUACUGUUUCGAGCGAGACAAUAUAUCAUGUGAGUGAAAGGGGUGAUUGCUUGGCAUUCGACUUAUGCUGUUGUGCACUUUCCGAUUCAUUUUUUUCCCUGCACCUUUUUUUUGUGCAUUUUCCUUGUGAGAUUUAGCUGUAACUGACUUUAGAAGUUAAAAAUUUUCUGUGUCGCAUGUGAACCUGUUGCCUUGGAGUGAUUUGUACUUUCACUAUUAUAUGUACCAUAUUGUAUUAUUAUAUUCUUUUUACAUGUGAUUGCACAGCAUAAAUGGGUAGACAACUUUAUAAUUGGCAGAGAAUAUAUUUCCUGCAACUUGCAAUGAAUUUUCUCUUUUUAGAAAUGAAAACUGAUU
Molecule: long non-coding RNA, 2769 nt
Filed under: Olea europaea subsp. europaea
Lineage: Eukaryota; Viridiplantae; Streptophyta; Magnoliopsida; Lamiales; Oleaceae
Source: RNAcentral